This 447-nucleotide ribosomal RNA is filed under the name uncultured bacterium. Its description in RNAcentral is "partial 16S ribosomal RNA". It matches the Rfam family "Bacterial small subunit ribosomal RNA", at positions 29 to 523 of the family's 1533-position model. The record is from RNAcentral.
AACGAACGCUGGCGGCAGGCUUAACACAUGCAAGUCGAGCGCCCCGCAAGGGGAGCGGCAGACGGGUGAGUAACGCGUGGGAAUCUACCGUGCCCUACGGAAUAGCUCCGGGAAACUGGAAUUAAUACCGUAUACGCCCUCCGGGGGAAAGAUUUAUCGGGGUAUGAUGAGCCCGCGUUGGAUUAGCUAGUUGGUGGGGUAAAGGCCUACCAAGGCGACGAUCCAUAGCUGGUCUGGGAGGAUGAUCAGCCACAUUGGGACUGAGACACGGCCCAAACUCCUACGGGAGGCAGCAGUGGGGAAUAUUGGACAAUGGGCGCAAGCCUGAUCCAGCCAUGCCGCGUGAGUGAUGAAGGUCUUAGGAUUGUAAAGCUCUUUCACCGGUGAAGAUAAUGACGGUAACCGGAGAAGAAGCCCCGGCUAACUUCGUGCCAGCAGCCGCCGUAA